RNAcentral lists this ribosomal RNA (490 nucleotides) under uncultured bacterium. RNAcentral describes it as "partial 16S ribosomal RNA". It matches the Rfam family "Bacterial small subunit ribosomal RNA", at positions 29 to 507 of the family's 1533-position model. The record is from RNAcentral.
AGUGAACGCUGGCGGUAGGCCUAACACAUGCAAGUCGAACGGCAGCACAGGAGAGCUUGCUCUCUAGGUGGCGAGUGGCGGACGGGUGAGGAAUACAUCGGAAUCUGCCCAGUCGUGGGGGAUAACGUAGGGAAACUUACGCUAAUACCGCAUACGACCUUCGGGUGAAAGAGGGGGAUCGCAAGACCUCUCGCGAUUGGAUGAGCCGAUGUCGGAUUAGCUCGUUAGCGGGGUAAUGGCCCACCAAGGCGACGAUCCGUAGCUGGUCUGAGAGGAUGAUCAGCCACACUGGAACUGAGACACGGUCCAGACUCCUACGGGAGGCAGCAGUGGGGAAUAUUGGACAAUGGGCGCAAGCCUGAUCCAGCCAUACCGCGUGGGUGAAGAAGGCCUUCGGGUUGUAAAGCCCUUUUGUUGGGAAAGAAAUCUUUCAGGCUAAUACCCUGGGAGGAUGACGGUACCCAAAGAAUAAGCACCGGCUAACUUCGUG